GGAAACAUUGCUUUUGCGCGUUCGUCCCGAAACGAAAAAAAAAGAGAUGAUCGGCUUGCCUCUAAGGAUAUAAAUCUGUGAUAAAGUGCUUUAAUAAUCACAAAAUAUAUAUCAAAUGUGGAUUACUCAAUGGCCGGCUAUCCACACAGUGCACCUAACAAAAUCAGCCGUUUAUAUAAGAGCUUCCAAUGAAUUGUGGAAAUUUUGGCGUGUGUUUUGAGAAUUGAAAAUUUGAUCUUUGGCUCAUCGAUAAGAUACUGCUGGGCCCUGUGUAUAAAUUCCAACUGCCAAAGCAGCGCUCAAGUAACACUUGAGAAAGCGAAAGUCAACUUUGGAAGUUAAUUAACGAUCCGCUGAUUAGAUUAGAAUAUGCUUAUUAACUACUGCCCGCGAUACGACAAAGGCACCUCAAAAUUGUAUUUCCAAGAAAUCGCCAAACAUCCAUGAGGUGCAGUUUUCGGUCCGAGCAUAACAAUUUUUCCCAUCGAUCUUAUCCAUCUGUUUGGCUAUGAAAGCUUGUGUCUCUCCAUCGAAAGUUCAAUUCAUAGCUGGCGACAUUCUUUUUCAUUUGAGUUGCUGCUGAUGUGGAUGUAGCCCCCUUCGUGUUACUUUGAGGCCUGGCUGCUUCUUCCUCGUUUUCGUUAUCUUAAGUACACAUUCUGAGGUACAAACGUCAGUUGGCGAUAAGGCCACGAAAAAAACAGCAACACCACCCGAAGAAGACAUCAAAAAGCAGUCAAGUCAACAACAAACAGAAAGAGCCGAGGAGCGCAGGGUGGAAAUCGAGCAUUGGGUGGGGGAUCCGACUGCUCUAAAUGCAAUCUGUUUGCACAAUACCGACCUGAACCCAUACCCAUAUUAUGGUCUACCUAUGCCUAAGCAUUUCUACCUUUUCAGCAUUUUCACGCUAAACAAAUCAUGCAGAUGUCAAACAUUUAAUUAGGUGCACCGCAGCCGAGAAAAACCAGGGAUAAUGUGAAUUUCUUAUACUCUAUAUAUAUGGUGUAUAGAUGGCAGAAUAUCGAGCGACUUACACGACUCAGCUGAGCUGCUUGGCGGCUUCGGUUUCUGCAUAUGGUAAAUACCAUUAUCAAAUCAUAUUAUCUUAUUUAUAAGCAUUAUCGUGCCACAGAUACAGAUUGCCUAUCUAUGGAAUGGGCAUGUAAAAAAAUCAUAUAUACUCAGAUAUCUUACCGAGUGUGGUUAUUUCGUUGCUGGCAGAGUAAGUUUUGCACUUUCCAUUAAAACGCGCUCCGUUCCUCAGCCAACCCGUGUCGCAAUUAUAAAGCAAUAAUUAUGCAUUAUACGGAAAACAUUGAACGAGAGAAGCUAGAUUGUAAAGUGCGAAAAUAAAAAUGAGUAACAAAACGCGUCUAAUGAAAAAAAAAAUACACCCAUAAAAUGUCGAGCGUCAGCGCCGAACAUGAAUUCAUCGUAAAUUACGGACAACAAGUGAAGUGUGUGUACUAAAAACGUAAAGGUGGCAUGAAAACAUAUAGUAUAUGGGCAAACAAAUGGACUGCGAAUUAAGCCCACUGUGAAUUGUUACCGUUCUGGUCCUCAAAUAUACCAGUGAUCUUAGUGCCUUGGAAUCGCCGGAGAAACCCAUGAUAUUUUUCGGAACAUGACUAGUUUUAUCCCGCUUCCGAUUUCAGAAUUAUAUCUCCUUGGAAGAAAGGCGACCAUUUUGCAAUUCAUUUUGAAGCCCCAAUGCCCCAAUGUUGACUACAGAAAUAAUUUAUGGUGAAUGGACUUCAUUUCACGGCUAAUCAACAGGGGUAUCAAUCAAAUUACUGGACGGAGCCACCUCAGCACCACUCGAGUGGUGCACGAGCCAUUUCAACGAGCGGCACUCGCGACUUUACCCAACUUUUGUACAGUCACGUAGUCAGGCAGCCACCUCGUUCCUCCCACUGCCACCCACCAGCGCCACCUCCACGCUUACCGACCCACCCCCUUACAGACCCUCUCUGUGGGAUCCCCACAACUCGGCGAGCAAACAACCCUAGCAAUAAACAAAAACUGUUUUGCCACAUGAAAUGACUUUCAGAUUUUGUUGCUGUUGUCGUUUUGUAACGCGUGACUCCCAUAAAAAACAAGAACAACAACGGCAACCAGCGCACUGAAAGUUUAUUAAAAAGGAAAUAGAGCGAAAAAUAUAAAUAGAGGGAGAAGGCGGGGGUGUGACAGAGACAGAACGGAGGGGACUCAGCAAUGUGACGUUAUCUUAUCACUGAAAAUGUCGCUUUCGUAAAUGGCGGCGCACAAAAUAAUAUAAUACACACUUACUCCACCCCAACGUACAUAUAUGUGUGCAUGUGCAUAUGUACAUCCCCCACACAUAUGUAUGUACAUAUGCACAUCCACUCUCUGAUAUUUUAUUCUCGCCUGUAAUUGCUUAAUUCUAGAGUGGCUCUGCGUAGAGGACAUCCACUUUACAUAUCUCCUAAAAAUCAGAAAAUAUAUUAAAAUGUAUCUGAAGUGUAUCUGUAUGUAUUCCCUUAUUUUUCAUAAAUAAGCGCUUUAUAUCUAUAACAAAUUUUUGCACCUAUCAAAGAUGUGUAGUACACAUUGAGUACCUACCUAUAAGUAUACUUUUUUCGAAUAGCUGUCCCUUUUCCAUUAUUCUCUAAUAAAAAACAAUUAGAUACUCUACUGUUCUAAUAAUUCUCUUUUUGUACUAAUAUCACAUUUAAAGAAAAUAAAAAAGUAUUACCAACUAACUAAAAGGGUCAAUAAGUAUUUAAAACUACAUGUUAAAUAAGUAUAAAUAUAUGAAGUCAUCUUACAUGACAAAAACGGCAGAGAAUUUAAUUAGCAGCUAUUCUUAUCUAGCAAUCAGAUUAAGUUAAAUUUUUUAUAAAUUUCCGAUAUAAAGAUCACAUUCAUAAAAUAACAUUUAAUCUGACGUGAUAUUAGCUUGUAAAAUAUAAUUAAGAAACCACUUGGUCUCAUAUACCUUUAUACACACAUUAGGUUAAGUUCAGAGGAAUUUUGGAUCCAAAACAAAUAGAAUGAAGUU
Drosophila melanogaster (fruit fly) is the source of this 3022-nucleotide non-coding RNA. Lineage: Eukaryota; Metazoa; Arthropoda; Insecta; Diptera; Drosophilidae. The record is from Ensembl.